AGACAGAUCAGAGGAGGGAGAGAGGAGGUAGAGGGAUAGACAGAUCAGGGAAGAGGUAGAGGGAUAGACAGAUCAGAGAAGAGGUAGAGGGAUAGACAGAUCAGAGAAGAGGUAGAGGGAUAGACAGAUCAGAGGAGGGAGAGAGGAGGUAGAGGGAUAGACAGAUCAGGGAAGAGGUAGAGGGAUAGACAGAUCAGAGAAGAGGUAGAGGGAUAGACAGAUCAGAGAAGAGGUAGAGGGAUAGACAGAUCAGGGAAGAGGUAGAGGGAUAGACAGAUCAGAGGAGGGAGAGAGGAGGUAGAGGGAUAGACAGAUCAGGGAAGAGGUAGAGGGAUAGACAGAUCAGAGGAGGGAGAGAGGAGGUAGAGGGAUAGACAGAUCAGGGAAGAGGUAGAGGGAUAGACAGAUCAGAGGAGGGAGAGAGGAGGUAGAGGGAUAGACAGAUCAGGGAAGAGGUAGAGGGAUAGACAGAUCAGAGGAGGGAGAGAGGAGGUAGAGGGAUAGACAGAUCAGGGAAGAGGUAGAGGGAUAGACAGAUCAGAGGAGGGAGAGAGGAGGUAGAGGGAUAGACAGAUCAGAGAAGAGGUAGAGGGAUAGACAGAUCAGAGGAGGGAGAGAGGAGGUAGAGGGAUAGACAGAUCAGAGAAGAGGUAGAGGGAUAGACAGAUCAGAGGAGAGAGAGAGGAGGUAGAGGGAUAGACAGAUCAGAGAAGAGGUAGAGGGAUAGACAGAUCAGAGGAGGGAGAGAGGAGGUAGAGGAAUAGACAGAUCAGAUGGAGAGAGGAGAGGUGGGAGGGAGGAGGUAGAGAGGAGGCAGAGAGGAAUAGACAGAUCAGAUGGAGAGAGGCUUGAUGACAGGAGGUAGAACUAAAUAAGGUCCUCUCAUUCUUCUGCUCCUACUGGCCUCUAAUGUCUGUCUGGU
Long non-coding RNA from Oncorhynchus keta (chum salmon), 922 nucleotides. RefSeq lists it as uncharacterized. Lineage: Eukaryota; Metazoa; Chordata; Actinopteri; Salmoniformes; Salmonidae. The transcript has 6 exons. The record is from RefSeq and is a predicted model, not a curated record.